CGGGGUGUAGCGCAGUUGGCUAGCGCGCCACGUUCGGGACGUGGAGGCCGGAGGUUCGAGUCCUCUCACCCCGA
This 74-nucleotide transfer RNA is filed under the name Bacteroidota bacterium. RNAcentral describes it as "Bacteroidetes bacterium (activated sludge metagenome) tRNA-Pro". It matches the Rfam family "tRNA". From Rfam's summary of the family: Transfer RNA (tRNA) molecules are approximately 80 nucleotides in length. Their secondary structure includes four short double-helical elements and three loops (D, anti-codon, and T loops). Further hydrogen bonds mediate the characteristic L-shaped molecular structure. tRNAs have two regions of fundamental functional importance: the anti-codon, which is responsible for specific mRNA codon recognition, and the 3' end, to which the tRNAs corresponding amino acid is attached (by aminoacyl-tRNA synthetases). tRNAs cope with the degeneracy of the genetic code in two manners: having more than one tRNA (with a specific anti-codon) for a particular amino acid; and 'wobble' base-pairing, i.e. permitting non-standard base-pairing at the 3rd anti-codon position. Lineage: Bacteria; Pseudomonadati; Bacteroidota. RNAcentral also lists the same sequence under 6 other names. The record is from RNAcentral.